UAGUACUAGUAAAGCUUCUUGUAAGUUGUAUUAUAUUUUUGACUGAUACAUAUAAUUUGGUAAAGUACUCUUAGUUUUACCAAGGUGUACAGGUUGUGAAAGAUAAGGGAAAUCAAGAUAACCUCGCAACGUAUUUCGAAAACAAACUACGUGUUUAAUUAUAUAUAUAUAUAUAAUAUAUAUAUAUAUACACACUCCGGUUGUACUUGUAAGACUAAGGAAACGGCAUUGGAUUAGAAUGCUUCAGAAGGUUCAUGAUGCGGUAGGACUAAAAGUGGAUGGGAUGAAACGUUAAAUAGCGAGGCUUUACCAUUAAAGCUUCUAAAAUGAGCUGGUUCAAAAGAGACAGCCCACUGAGGUCUAGUUUUCGCAGGAGGUCGUCUCAGAUUCCUCCUCUACAGGAAUUGGAUACUAAUGCUUGCUUUGAAACAUUUAAAAUACACUGGAAACAGGCAUGGCAAAUCAUGAACAUAGAAAGUGAACCAAGGAAAGCUGAUGAUGUUACGUGUGUUGUGAACCUCUUAGACCAGAUGAUUGCAUUGUUAAUUCAAGAAAUGAGUAGUCAAAAGAAGACAGAGAUCAAUACCAUUGGUCAUACAGAUGAAGCUACAUUUGUGGGUCCCAUACUGGAUUAUCUGUUCUUAGAGAAGAUACUGGAUAAGAUAUUUGUGUGGUCCAUAAAGAGUGGAGAAUUUGUUAAUGUGAUGAAACUAGAACAGCUCAAGAUGUAUGAGACUCUUAUCAGCCACUGCCAAGAAUAUAUCUUGUUUCACAAACCAUUUGUCCGUCCAUUGCUUCAGCUUUUAGCUGUUUGUGGAGAGUGUUCACCUGUUGAGGUUGAAAAGCGAUUUGUGGUACUUCUAAAUACAAUAUGUGUUUGUAUAACACAGAAUCAAAACCUUCUGGGAAUGUUCUUCAAUGUAAAUUCUGAACCAGCAAGGUUCCUCAUAUUUUCUCUUCUGAUACCUUUUGUUCACCGAGAAGGAGCUAUUGGUCAACAAGCAAGAGAUGCCUUGUUGCUCUGCAUGGCUUUAUCAGGAGAGAAUGAAAGUGUUGGAUUAUAUAUUGCAGAGCACUCCAAUUUUUGUCCUGUGCUAGCGACGGGGUUGAGUGGACUGUAUUCAGUUUUACCUAGGAAACUUCCAGUCAUGAAAGGUGAUUGGUUCCACCUUACUAACGAAGAUGUUCAAGAAAUUCCUGAAGUUUUUAUCUUCAUGAAUUCUUUAGAAUUUUGUAACGCAGUUGUACAGGUAGCUCACCAUGUGGUAAAAGCCCAAGUGGUAGAUUACCUCUAUCAAGGAUUUCUGGAGCCUGUGAUUGGACCAGCUCUCCAUCAGACAUCCACAGAAGAAGUCAUAGCAGCCACAGCUUAUUUGCAGUUGUUUCUUCGCUCCAUCACAGAACCAACCAUAAUCAAAGUCUUCCUCAAGUUUAUAGUAAUGUCAAAUUUUGAAGGUCAUCAAAUCUUGGAUACCUUAGUGAAAAGAAUAGAAUCCCAGUCUACUCUGUGUACCAUCACACUGGCCCUUUUCAAGACACUCCUAGAUUUUAAUUGUGAAGAUUUUAUGUUGGAGUUAGUACUCAAGUACUUGAUUCCUUGUACCCAUGUCAUGGUUAGCCAGCGAAUUCGGUUGCGUGAUGUGGAUGUAUACAGUCAGACAGCAGAAAAGCUACUGUCACUAGUACCUACUUGUUUCUUAACCUUGCCAACAUCCUCUCUCCCUUCAAACAUGAAGCACUCGGAGAGACUGUCACUCGGGGGUAGUUUAAGAGUUAAAAGACAUCGUCGUACAACUUCAACAUCAAGCCUUGCCUCUGGUGACUUUCAUGUGAAUCAAAGAUCAUGUAGUGGUAAUAACGGUAUUAACCCAAUGCAGUUGUACUAUGAAGAGAGGGAGCACCAUGAAACUAGUUACUUAGAUUAUCUCAAGGAAGCUAGAGAAUGUGUGUUAGCCUGCACUAAAGCUUCUCUAAAGUGGACUGCUCCUUAUAAUGGGUUGAUACCACCCCCAGAUGCAUCUUUAAUGAAUCCAGCUAAGAAACAUCAGUCAUGCACUGAGGUUUCUAGAGAUUCCUCUGUUCCAAGUGGACAGUGUGAUGAAAAAUUGAUAAUAAUUGACAAUUACUACACUGAUUUAAAUCAAACUGAAUCUAGCCACCAAAAUGGAGAAAGUUCAACACUGAGUCACUGUUUGAACACUGAAAAUAUCAUGUGCAAUCUAUCCUCAAAGUCUACAGUAAAUGGUUCAUCUAGAAAUGAGAAUGAAAUGAAUAUGGAAAAUAGUAUCAUUGAGUUAAAUGUAGAAAGAUCAGGAGACCAUAUGGAUAAUUCAGCAUUGUUUAAAGAAAGGCAUGAAAAUAAGGGUCAACUGUCAAAGUAUGAAUUGAUUAAAAUAAAAAAAAAUCAACACUUAAGUAAUUUGUGCACAUUCUCAGAUUUUCAGGAUAACGGAACUAAGUCCUUGCUAUUAGGUAACAGAACUAAAGAUUCUUGCAAGUCUAGUACAUCAUCUCCAUCAAGUUUGGAGUCUUUUGAAAGUCCUGAUAUUGGACCUUUUCUCAAUGUUCUGUUAACUAAACUAGAGAUGAUGCUUCAGAAUGAUGUGUACACAAAUCUCCGGUUAACAGAGGUACUAGCUCGUCUAGCCCUCUAUCCACAGCCUUUGCUUCGAUCUUUCUUGCUCAACCAUUCUUUGGUCUUCCAGCCAACAGUGAGAUCAUUACUUCAGGUAUUGGGUUCUUUAAAACCAAAAGUGGAAGCCUGUUGUACAUCCAUCAGCAAUUUUGAAGAGUUGUUGCUGAAAUGUAGUAAAUUUUUCUUUGCUCGAGAAGAACGGUUAUUGAACGAUUUGGUUGUAAGGGAAUAUAGAAAAGAAACUUUUAACCAGCAGAAAGAUAUUCAGAGAGGAGAACGACGCAGAAGUUUUACAAAUUUUAUUUUCAGAAGAGGUAGUUUACGAGGAGAGAAAGAAAGAAAUGUAGCUAUUAGACCAAUUUUUGAGUCCUUACCAGCCACUCAAGGACACAGACAAGCACCUGAAAAACCUGAAGGCAAACUGGAAUGCCUGAAAAUGAAAAAUGCUGUACUGUGUACAGUUCUUUUCUCAGAAUUCCUUAAAGAACUCGCUGCCAUUAGCCAGGAGCACUCUGUUAUUCAAGCAGAUCCGGAGUUUUGGACAAUGGAUUCGAUGGCUUAUGAUAACAUUUAGCAGGCAUGCUAAACCAUCAUUAUCAUUUAAUAUACAAUUUUAAUUGUGUAUAUAUACACUGAUUCAUUCUAAAGAUAUUGUUGAAAAAUUAAAACCAAAAUAAGUUGAUAAUGGCUCUGCAUAACCCUAAAACACACAAAGAAAUGACUAAAUUACUUAUUGGUGAUUCAAAAUAAUGGUACCUGUAUAUAGAAAAACUUAGGUGUUGACACAAAAUAAGAGCCAAAUUUUAUAAUAAUGAAUUGAUUAGGCCUAGCCAUUGAAUGCAUGUUAAUAGGUAUCCUUCAAACUUAUUUUGUUUCCUGUUUUUAUAGAUAAAUGUGUGAUAAUUAUGAAAAGUCAUAGUUUAUUCAGGUUUUCUGAAAUCUAAUGAUUCCUAUAAAGUAGUGUGAUUCAUUUUUGAAGUAUUAAGGUUUUUAAGCAGCCUUAAAAGUUCAUAAAAUUGUUGAUCCUGUGGUUAGAUUUUUAUUAAUCAAAAGUUAGUGUUAGGAAUAUAAAUAUCGAAAAAAUUACAAGGGUAUUUUUCUAAUCUCCAUAUCAUGAUAUGUGGUUUGAUUACAUCAUAGUAGUCAAGUUCAUGUGAUUUUAUACAAGUUAUUUAUAAUUAUGUGUACAUUUUGGAAUUGUCAGCCUUGAGGUUUUGUAAAUAACUUUUGUUGUGAUUAUUGUGUUUUAAAAUAGUAAUAUUUCCUGUGCUCACAAACUGCAACUUUGAUUAUCAUAUGUUUUUUAACUAAGAUUUAUAUCCUAAAACAGAAUAUUUCAAGCAAAUAAAUACAGCAAAACAAACUACACAGUUAAUAAUCAGUUGUUUAAAUACUUUUAACAAAAUCUAACAAAUGUAUCAUAGGUUUCAAGAGUGAAUGUUCAUUUGUGCCUUACCAUAUCUUUUUAUGAAUGGUUGUCUUAGUUAUUAAAUGGGUAACUAGCAACUUAUAACAAAAUCACCACACACCGAGAAACUUGUUUUAAUAAACUCUUUAUGAAUCUGAAUUGAUCCUAUCAUUAGUAUGUGUGUUUUACAUCUUUAUCAAUCUGAAUUAAUCCUAUCAUUACAGUGUGUUUAUGUGUGUUUUACAUCUUUAUCAAUCUGAAUUAAUCCUAUCAUUACAGUGUGUAUGUGUGUGUGUUUUACAUCUUUAUCAAUCUGAAUUAAUCCUAUCAUUACAGUGUGUGUGUGUUUUACAUCUUUAUCAAUCUGAAUUAAUCCUAUCAUUAGUGUGUAUGUGUUUUACUAUCUUUAUCAAUCUGAAAUAAUCCUAUCAUUAGUGUGUGUGUGUGUUUUACAUCUUUAUCAAUCUGAAUUGAUCCUAUCAUUACAGUGUGUGUUUUACAUCUUUAUCAAUCUGAAUUAAUCCUAUCAUUAGUGUGUGUGUGUGUACUUGCUGAAAGUUUUCUUUGAGGGAAAAGAAAAAAUCUCUAUUGAAAAUAAUCACAAUAGUUUAAAAAAUUUAUAAGAAAUAAAUAGUAUAUUGCACUUUUUAAUGCCAGUUUACUAAAUAAAACUGAUAAAUGAAACUUAAUUAUUUAAAGCGUUUUUUCAGUAUGUGCAGUAUAUUCAGAAUUACAAGUUGAUAUUUGUAACAAUACUUAGAAUUAAAAACAAAAAUGAGAUUAAUGACAACAAAUAACUUAAUUGGCGAGGUAGUAAGUUAGCAGUAAGUUGCUAGACGUACAAAUAGAGGAUGAAGUGGAAACAGAAACAGAUGGUCUUCAAGGUAUACAAAAUGUAAUAUUUGAGGUAUGACCAAUGAAUAAAUCAACAGACCAGAGAUCAAGAAUUGAUAAUCAAUGGCAAGAAAAACAUAUGGAAUUGAUAAGUAUGCAGUCAAAAAAGUUAAUCACAAGUGAAAACAAUGUGAAAUAGAUAAGUACACAGUAAAAAGUUAAGUACUAGUGAAAACAAUGUGAAAUAGAUAAGUACACAGUAAAAAGUUAAUUACUAGCGAGAACAAUGUGAAAUAGAUAGGUACACAGUCAAAAAAAAUGUAUUAAUAGUGAAAACAAUGUUAAAUGGAUAAGUACGCAGUCAAAAAAGUUGACACUGCUGAAUCCAAAUAUUUACAUACGAUAAACUGUUGAAGAACAUCUAGCGAUAAAGGUGAAUAAUCGGGUUAUUAGAUAUCUUCACACUGAUGGAUAAAGAUGAAUAGUGUGGUUACCAAAUGUCUCUUCACACUAAUGAAUCAAGAUGAAUAGUCUGGUUACCAGAUGUCUCUUCACACUAAUGAAUCAAGAUGAAUAGUCUGGUUACCAGAUGUCUCUUCACACUAAUGAAUAAAGAUGAAUAAUCUGGUUACUACAUGUCUAUUCAAACUGAUGGGUAAAGAUGAAUAGUCUGGUUGAUAGAUGUCUCUUCACACUGAUGGGUAAGGAUGAAGAGUCUGGUUACUAGAUGUCUCUUCACACUGAUGGAUAAAUAUGAAUAGUGUAGUUACUAGGUGUCUCUUCACACUAAUGGGUAAAGAUGAAUAGUCUGGUUACUAGGUGUCUCUUCACACUAAUGGGUAAAGAUGAAUAGUCUGGUUACUAGGUGUCUCUUCACACUAAUGGGUAAAGAUGAAUAGUCUGGUUACUAGGUGUCUCUUCACACUAAUGGGUAAAGAUGAAUAGUCUGGUUACUAGGUGUCUUUUCACACUAAUGGGUAAAGAUGAAUAGUCUGGUUACUAUAUGUCUCUUCACACUGAUGGAUAAAUAUGAAUAGUCUGGUUACUAGGUGUAUUAUCACACUAAUGGAUAAAGAUGAAUAGUCUGGUUACUAGAUGUCUCUUCAAACUGAUGGGUAAGGAUGAAUAGUCUUGUAACUAGACUUUUCUUUUACUGUGUGAGAUAUUGUUUAUUGAUAAUGAUUAAAAUAUAUCAUUCAUGUAUUAAUGAAAGUGAUCACAUGUAUAGUAUACUUUUGCAUGUCAUUUAAUUCCUGGAAUACAAUGGUCUUAAUUUUAGUGAUAGAGUACAUUAUAGAAAGUUAAGUUCCUGAUGCAGGUCUAAAGGCAAAAUGUUAAGCAAAUAUAAGCUUCGUAAGAUUCUUCUGGGGUUGACACUGGUGUUUUUAUAUGAAUAAUGUUGAUUGUAUAACUGAGCUUAUUAAUAUUAGUAUUUUACAAAGUUCAUAAAACUCCAUUAGCAAAUCCGAAAAAGAUUAGUUAUCGUCUUCACAUUUUAAUUGUACUUCUUUCUCACCAGCAUGACUGUUAUAUUGAUCUAGUAAUUUAAAAUUCUGAAUGUGAUGAUACAUCUUAAAGCAUUUCUUUUAACUAAGGUUGUUUUACUAUGGUAAUGAAUUGUUGUAAAUUAUAAAAAUGUUCAUUAUUUUUUGUAAAUUGUAAUCAUAGCAGAAUUGGAAAGGUUGUGGUAUUUUGUAAAAAAAAACAUUAUUUAAUAAAUGUAUCCUGUUAGAUGUAUUUACCUCAAAAUUAAAUAUUCUUUUGUUUAAAAACUUAAACACUUCUGUUUUGUGAAGCUGAAAGAACAUCUUCAAGUUAUGUUUUUGUGUAAUACACAUCUGAUGAUUGUUUGGAGUUAAUAAAUGAUGAUGCUCUUCAAAAUUCAAUGUUUUUAACUUGUUAAAAAACUGAGAUGUUGUUUUUACCUUUCAAGGAUAAACUCUUGUUGUUAAAUAAGUUUAACAGAUCACAUCAACUUAUCAAAUGUGUGGUUUCUCUGCACUGCUUCAUUUUUUAGCAAGUUGUAUUACAUGUAAGAAAAUUCCAGAUCUAAAUUGGUAAAAUUGGUUUUACCUGCUCAAAAACAUGCUUGCUAAAAUGUACAAAAAGUAUUGUGGAAAAAAAAUAAACAGCUCUUAAGA
This 7018-nucleotide unclassified non-coding RNA is filed under the name Limulus polyphemus (Atlantic horseshoe crab). RNAcentral describes it as "fTS and Hook-interacting protein-like, transcript variant X2". Lineage: Eukaryota; Metazoa; Arthropoda; Merostomata; Xiphosura; Limulidae. The record is from RNAcentral.